AGAGCUUGCUCUGUGGAUCAGUGGCGAACGGGUGAGUAACACGUGAGCAACCUGCCCUGGACUCUGGGAUAAGCGCUGGAAACGGCGUCUAAUACUGGAUACGAGACGUGGCCGCAUGUUCAACGUUUGGAAAGAUUUUUUGGUUCAGGAUGGGCUCGCGGCCUAUCAGCUUGUUGGUGAGGUAAUGGCUCACCAAGGCGUCGACGGGUAGCCGGCCUGAGAGGGUGACCGGCCACACUGGGACUGAGACACGGCCCAGACUCCUACGGGAGGCAGCAGUGGGGAAUAUUGCACAUUGGGCGAAAGCCUGAUGCAGCAACGCCCCGUGAGGGAUGACAGCCUUCGGGUUGUAACCCUCUUUUAGCAAGGAAGAAGCGAAAGUGACGGUACUUGCAGAAAAAGCGCCGGCUAACUAAGUGCCAGCAGCCGCGGUAAUACGUAGGCGCGCAAGCGUUAUCCGGAAUUAUUGGGCGUAAAGAGCUCGUAGGCGGUUUGUCGCGUCUGCUGUGAAAACUGGAGGCUCAACCUCCAGCCUGCAGUGGGUACGGGCAGACUAGAGUGCGGUAGGGGAGAUUGGAAUUCCUGGUGUAGCGUUGGAAUGCGCAGAUAUCAGGAGGAACACCGAAGGCGAAGGCAGAUCUCU
RNAcentral lists this ribosomal RNA (643 nucleotides) under Lysinimonas sp. RNAcentral describes it as "bacterial SSU rRNA". It matches the Rfam family "Bacterial small subunit ribosomal RNA", at positions 75 to 730 of the family's 1533-position model. The record is from RNAcentral. Lineage: Bacteria; Bacillati; Actinomycetota; Actinomycetes; Micrococcales; Microbacteriaceae.